CGUCCCCUCUGCUCGAACCGCGUCUCUAUGGCGGCCGCGACAGCCCACAAGGCGCAGAGCGACAUGAACGCGGAUGCUGAUGGUCAAGGCGGCGCUGUGCUCCCUGCGCAGUCUCGAGAGGGCAGUCCCGUGGCGUGUGACUUCGUCCCAUCGGUGCUGGGGACACGAGAGCAUUGGGAUGCUGUUUAUGAGAGAGAACUGAGAACAUUCCAAGAAUAUGGAGAUACGGGAGAAAUCUGGUUUGGGGAAGAGAGUAUGAACCGACUAAUAAGGUGGAUGCAGAAACACAAGAUCCCAUUGGAUGCCUCAGUGCUUGAUAUUGGAACUGGAAAUGGUGUUUUCCUGGUUGAACUUGUGAAACAUGGUUUCUCUAAUGUAACUGGGAUUGAUUAUUCUCCUUCUGCAAUUAAGCUUUCUGCAAGCAUUCUAGAGAAGGAAGGACUAUCUAACAUUAACUUGAAGGUAGAAGACUUUUUGAGUCUUUCCACAAAGCUGUCUGGAUUUCAUGUUUGUGUUGACAAAGGGACUUUCGAUGCCAUAAGUCUUAAUCCUGACAAUGCAGUUGAGAAGAGGAAGCAAUAUGUGAUGUCUCUCUCCAGGGUUUUGGAAGUAAAAGGCUUUUUUCUAAUAACCUCUUGUAAUUGGACCAAGGCAGAGUUGCUAGAUGUGUUCAGUGAAGGAUUUGAGCUUUUUGAAGAGCUGCCAACACCCAAGUUCAGUUUUGGAGGUAGAUCUGGAAACACUGUAGCAGCUUUGGUUUUUCAAAAAAGUGAGACUUCCUUGGACAAAGUCAGUUAGCUUCCUAGAAGAAACUGUACAGCACAGAAACCUGAUAGAGAAGAAGCAAGUACAAAUAGUGCUUAGUAUGGGUGUGUUCCACCUACAGGAGAACUCAAACAAAACCGACAGGGAAGGAAAACAAAGGACCAGGUGAAUCUCAUCCUUCUGAAAAUGACAAUGAUGAAUGAAAACAAAAGACCUUAGCGUUUGGAUACAGCAGAAUGACAAACUGUUGGAGAGUGAAAAGAUUCACAAGCUUGCAGCCUGGCUUGCCUUACCCAGAGGUCUUCCGUCCAGAGUUGCAAGCGUGACAUUUGCUGUGUUUUCAGCACCUGCCAACUUGGAAACCAGGGUUUGUGCUCAGGACAUAGGCUUACAACCCACACUUUGUGGUGCACAAUGCCGUCCCAGCUGGCAUGCUUUCGUACCUCAAUGGUGCUAGACAUUCGGUUACCAAGCAGCACAGCUUCGCGUGUGCAGAUUUCAUUCCUCUCCAAACUGCUUUCAACUCUUAUUUUGUAUCACAGGAGUGAGAUUAGCAUCAUUAAAUUCACUGCUGUAGUUAUUUUUCAAUGAAAAUAAAUUUGAUUUAUUUUUGGAUUUAAAAAUACAAUUU
This is a non-coding RNA of Myodes glareolus (Bank vole), 1396 nucleotides long. The record is from RefSeq and is a predicted model, not a curated record. NCBI's taxonomy places the organism in Eukaryota, Metazoa, Chordata, Mammalia, Rodentia, Cricetidae.